AGAACUUCUCUUUCUCGGAA
Molecule: transfer RNA, 20 nt
Filed under: Mus terricolor (Earth-colored mouse)
Lineage: Eukaryota; Metazoa; Chordata; Mammalia; Rodentia; Muridae
Description: partial tRNA-Thr
Source: RNAcentral